CGGAAUAUUAAGUCAGUGGUGAAAGCCUACAGCUCAACUGUAGAACUGCCAUUGAUACUGAUAUUCUUGAGUAUGGAUGAAGUGGGCGGAAUAUGUCAUGUAGCGGUGAAAUGCAUAGAUAUGACAUGGAACACCAAUUGCGAAGGCAGCUCACUAAACCAUUACUGACGCUCAUGGACGAAAGCGUGGGGAGCGAACAGGAUUAGAUACCCUGGUAGUCCACGCCGUAAACUAUGAUCACUAGAUGUUGGCGAUAUAAUGUCAGCGUUUAAGAGAAAUCGAUAAGUGAUCCACCUGGGGAGUACGUUCGCAAGAAUGAAACUCAAAGGAAUUGACGGGGGCCCGCACAAGCGGAGGAGCAUGUGGUUUAAUUCGAUGAUACGCGAGGAACCUUACCAAGGCUUAAAUGUAAUAUGACCGGCUGAGAAAUCAGCUUUUUUUCGAACAGAUUACAAGGUGCUGCAUGGUUGUCGUCAGCUCGUGCCGUGAGGUGUCGGGUUAAGUCCCAUAACGAGCGCAACCCCUAUUUUUAGUUACCAGCGAGUAAUGUCGGGAACUCUAGAAAAACUGCCUGUGCAAACAGAGAGGAAGGUGGGGAUGACGUCAAAUCAUCACGGCCCUUAUGUCUUGGGCUACACACGUGCUACAAUGGUUACUACAAUGGGCUGCCAUCUGGUGACAGAGAGCAAAUCCACAAAGGUAAUCUCAGUUCGGAUCGGAGUCUGCAACUCGACUCUGUGAAGUUGGAUUCGCUAGUAAUCGUAUAUCAGCAAUGAUACGGUGAAUACGUUCCCGGGCCUUGUACACACCGCCCGUCAAGCCAUGGAAGUUUGGAGUGCCUGAAGUCAGUAACCGCAAGGAACUGCCUAGGGUAAAACGGAUAACUAGGGCU
This 892-nucleotide ribosomal RNA is filed under the name uncultured marine bacterium. RNAcentral describes it as "bacterial SSU rRNA". It matches the Rfam family "Bacterial small subunit ribosomal RNA", at positions 576 to 1482 of the family's 1533-position model. The record is from RNAcentral.